Molecule: long non-coding RNA, 1364 nt
Organism: Lolium perenne
Lineage: Eukaryota; Viridiplantae; Streptophyta; Magnoliopsida; Poales; Poaceae
Source: RefSeq, a predicted model, not a curated record
CUCUUCUCCUUGAGAAGGUAUGUUCUGUUUUUAACUGCAUAUGCUUACUAUUUGAAGUGUGGAUUCAAUUGCGCUACAUUCAUCUUGAGAUUCUUUUUCUUUGACAGAGUUCUCCAUUAUUUCUGGUGUUUCACAGCAAAUAGCUUUUUGAUCAUUCAUCUGUUAUAUGCUGGGUAGAGUUUAUUUAAUGAAGCAAAAGCAUUUUCAAGAAGAUGUGUUAUAGAGAUUGUUCCUGCCUGUUUGACAUUAUGAAUGAAGGAUAAUUCCUUGAGGCGGUGAUGUCAAGUUGUCAACUGGUGAUUCUUAUAGACAAUUCAUGAUGAGAACACCUCAGGGAUAUAUCAGCCUGCAGGUCUAUAGCAUUCUAGACAUAACACAUUCAUGCCAGCAGUCACAUAGCAAUAGGUAGGUUGCCAGUUAGUAGGGUGGUGUUCUGGGAGUUAGCAAAUGGAAUUUGUGGGAUGAUUUCUCCUACCAAUAUAUCGACGCUGCUAUUUUGCUGCUUACCAAUUGAAGCUAAAUAGACACUCAAGAAAUGGUAUGUUGUGCCUGAUUUAGGAGUAUUGGCGCUAUUUCUUCUAUGAUUACUGAACUAUUGGCCUGCCGAGGGCAUCUUUUCGACAAUAUUAGCCAGCAUAGUAUGUGACAUGUUAGCUUUAUUUACCUCAGUGUUCCUUCUUCAGUUCUUCAUCAUUGGCAAAUUUUAUUAAAUGGACAUGUUUUCUUCACCAUGUCAUCUGCAGUACAUUACAAAGUGUAUGUAUUGAUGAAUGAUUAGCUUCUGUUCACCUAACUCCCUGUGUACGCCAAAGGUAUGGCCAUCUGAACUGAUGCUGUUUCAUUUCAGUAGUAGUAUGUUAUAUACAAGUUCACUCAACUCUCAGAUUGUUGUUGUGAUUUGAUUUUGUUCCCUGUGCAUACUAUAUAUGGAUGGUGCUUGAAAAAGGGCAUCAAGUUGACAUGAAUCUGCUCCCAUCUUAUGUUCUGAUGAAUCUGGUAAGUGGUGUCUAUGAUCUACCUUUUUAAAUGAGAAAUGUUGAUUCAAGCAGGGUCUAUAUCUGUUGUGAUGUCGUAGUAGACAUGCUAGAUGUUUGACAAAAUUUCUUUUACCUACCAAAUGAUGAAUAAGUCAUUGUAUUCUGGUCUUUGUGGAGCUGCUACUGCACAUGGUUCUUGUGAAGGACUGCAGCACACACAUGGUCCUUUGUGAAGGACUGGCUGUUAGGAUAGGAUAGCAUUCCUGAUCUUUAACUGUUUUUAGAGGCAUCAAGGACUGGUAGUUAGCAGCUUUUAGACUAGCAUAUUCUGGCUGGCUAGCAGCUAUAAAUCUGUACCACCGUGCCCUCAGUUUGGCAUGGCAUUGU